AAUACCUGGAACGUAGUACGGGUCUUUCUUUGGGACAUACAGUUCGGGUGAACAAAUAGUAUGUGCUAACUGUUCUUUAUCCAUAUACAUAUAAAGCUAACUUCAUACAGGAGCAUCUUAGGAAGAAAGAGCAGAAAGUUGCACUCACCUUUUAACUUCACUUUCUGUCAUAUAUAUGAUGUUCUCUCACUUAAUAAUUAAGAUGUUGAUAACAUCGGAUUUGAGCAUCACAGAGUGUGUCUCAUGUGGAGUUGGAUCUGCUUACUCUGCCGGAGUACCUGAGAUCACCCCCUUUUUGGUUGGAUUAUUUUUUUCAGUCUUAAGUUUUCUAUGUUGUGUUUUGUGUACUGUUGUUUGUCUUUUGUCUUUUUUUUUUUUUUGCCAUUUCCCAGUCAGUUUAUUUUUGACGUAUGAAUUUGAAAGCGACAUUCUUUGAAUAGAUAUAUUUCGCCUUUCUUUUAUAAUCCUUGGAAUCAUUAAAAAUUAGUAAAUAUAAAGGGUUGAAAUAUAAAAAAAAAAAAGUUUAAUCCAACCGCAAUGUUGCACCUGUCUAAAGUCAGGAGCCUCUGGACUUUGUUAGUCUUGUUUGACUUUUAAUUUUGUUUCUUUUAUGUAUUUACGAGUUAAGUAUGACCGUCCAUUUUUACUGAACUAGUACACAUAUUUGUGAAGGGGCCAGCUGAAGUACACCUCCGGGGCGGGAUUUCCUCGUGGUAUUGAAGACCCAUUGUUGGCCCUCGGCUGUUUUCCGCUCUUUGGUCGUGUUGUUUACUCUUUGACACAUUCCCCAUUUCCAUUCACAAUUUCAUCUUGAUAAUCCUUGUUUCAAUCCAUCUGAGACCAUGUUUAGCAUGUAGUGUGUCUGCCUUAUUUGUGUUUAUGCCAAUGUUUGUGUUUAGCCAAUGUUUGUCUCAUUAUAUACUACUAUUUUGUCUGUCAGUAUUUAUUUUUACUUUCAUUCAUGCCUGGAUGUGCUUGAUUUUUUCUCAUGUGUGUCUGCCUGUUCUCUCUUGUAUUGCGUGUGUAUCUGUCUGUUCUCGCUUUUAUCGCAUGAGUGUCUGACUACGCACUUUUCUCGCAUGUGCGUCUGACUUAAAGUUUGGUUUUAAUCCAAUGUUGUUAUUUGUACUAAGACCUGUUUAAAGUCACUUUUGUAAGCUACCGUCAUAUUACAAUUUUACUCAUUGCGUCUGAUGCCUGCCGCUAGUUAUUUUU
This 1215-nucleotide long non-coding RNA is filed under the name Mytilus galloprovincialis (Mediterranean mussel). The record is from RNAcentral. Lineage: Eukaryota; Metazoa; Mollusca; Bivalvia; Mytilida; Mytilidae.